RNAcentral lists this long non-coding RNA (6884 nucleotides) under Monomorium pharaonis (pharaoh ant). RNAcentral describes it as "uncharacterized LOC114254721". Lineage: Eukaryota; Metazoa; Arthropoda; Insecta; Hymenoptera; Formicidae. The record is from RNAcentral.
CAUCAGCCACGAUGAGAGACAGAGGCGGCCGGGACACGGGAGCGAACGAGAUAGCGGCCAGACAGUCAAGUGGAAGUGUCGAUGGCUGCUGCGUGUAAACGAGAACUAAUCAAGAAUGAAUCUAAUCGAGCGGCGGCGGCCAAUCGCGUUUCGUAAAAUUCGUAAAUGCAGUGUCGCGAUGAUCUAAAACUUGAUUGUUCGCUCGUUCGCGUACGACGAUACGUGUCGAGUGUCAAUGGUAGUGUGUGUGUGUACGAUCAAGGGUGAAGGACUACGUGAAGGAAAGGGACACUCGGAAGCGAAGAGGAGCAAAACGACGGCAACGUGUUGGUCGGUGAGUGAGUUACUUGUUAUAUUACGCUUGUCACUUAUCAUCCCUAGGUUUCGCAAUGACGACAAUUUGAUCAAGAUAUAGAUAACGUUUACUAUUAGAAAAGAAAACCGGGAAAACCUGGAAUUUUUUUAUCCUCGAAAUUCGUGGAUUUUCUUGGUAGGAUUUUAUUGAUAUUCAGUAAAGUUUUUGCGAAAUCUUAUUUUAUUUUAUUUUAAUUCGAUACAUUCAAAGGCGAUGCAAGACCGAUUUACAAUAGACGAUCGGUUUGCGUACAAAUCAUUAACAAAUAGGAAAUAAUAUAAUGAAAAAUAUCUUAAGUGCUACGCAUUCGGUAACUCUUCCCUGUAUUAAUAUAUCUAUUUUUUAAGUUUGAGAAACGCAACAGCUACGUUUCCAAUUGUUUCAUUAUAAAUCAAUAAAUUCGGUAAACAUGACGCGUUAAGGCAGAGGUAAAAAUUUAAAUAACGACACGGAGAUUCUGUCUCGGAGACGGGAACUCGCGUUCUACCGGGGACUGUUAUUGUUUCUGUAAUGGCAGGAACAGCGUCCCUGGGGGUCGUAAUGCCUCCUCGAUGACGAGGCGACGAGCGCAGGUGUGCCGUACGAGCGACGGGAUUUGCCCUCCCCCGAGAGAAUUCUGCCCCUCCUCCCCCCGCCUCCUUCUUCCACCGUGUGCGCUGAAGGGUCCUCUUUCGCGAGCUUAACGAGAUGACACCGUUCCCAAGAUCCUCGGAAAAUCCCGAGCCGCGCGCGCAAGAACAUCGCCAGCGCUCAAAUUUAUUCAUUCCCCUCGCCGACGCCGUCGUCGACGUUGCACGCACAACCGUCCGUAACGAGCUUCGGAGAUUUUACCUAACAAUAGAGAAGACUGCAGACCUAAGGCACGAAGAGUGAAUUUUAGAACGAAAGCGAGAGAGAGAGAGAGAGAGAGAGAGACGUACCUGUAUCGGUCGACGAAGGAGAUCAAGUAGUCCUAGUUAACAACAGUUUUAAUUCGUAACAGCUGAAUUUCUUUUUUUAAUUUGACCGUUAUUAUUAAUAAAGUACAUACAUAAUGUAGAAAUUGAUAAGGAACCAAGUUCGCGAAUGAUGUAUCGUCAUUCAUUCUGUCGCGGGAGGAGGGGGGGAGACAAAAAAAAUACUACAAGAAAACGUCAGGUCUUAAUUUCGAGAAAGCUCGCGUACGAUAAAUUAUCGAGCUUACAAAUUGCAUCCGGAAAAAAAAAGAAGACAGUGAUCGAUAUCCCGUGCGAAAGAAAAAUUAGCGCGACGGUCGUGCGAAAGUCGAACGGACGACGACGACGACGACGACGAAAGGGUUAAACUGGCUGAGAGGACUGGAGUCUGUGGAUGGCGGUAGGGUGACGGUCGGUGCGCGAGUCGGGCGGGUGUGGGGGGAGGGACAGGGUCUUCAUGGAGCGACGUUUAACAGCAUCGUAACCGGCUGGGAUGAUUACCUCACCAGCCAACGUAGGACUCUACGACCUACCCUCUGCUCGUCGUCGGCGUCGCGACGCCCGUAAACGGAAGCCCCACGGCAAUGCUUCCAACUCUCUCUCUCUCUCUCUCUUCUCCCCCCCUUUUCCGCCCGACUUCCCCGGGCUCCCAUCUCAGCUCCCUUCCCUCUCGUCGUCGUGCGAUGCAUAUCCAACCCUUUAACCACCUGCCGGAGAAGCGGCAGCAAUCUCGGGCGGCGAAUGCGCAGCGCCCCGAAAAUGUUAAAGGAGCCGCGGUAACGCUUUCGACUCUCAACCAGAAGAGCCAGCCGAAGAAUUCUCUUGCCAAGGCGAUCCUUUGAAGUUAGAGCUAUCGUUGGACUAUGCACGAGGAUAGCAGGAACGAGGUAAUUUCAGAAAUGGGAUUCUAUACCCGAAAGAAUUCUAGCAGAUUUUUCCUUUUUUUUUUUUUUUUUUUAAGAAUUCUCUUUCUCUCUCUCUCGAUUUACAAAAAUCUUUGUUCACAGAUAUUCCGAUAGGUUUGUUUGCAUUAAUAUGGAAAUCGCAGUUAACAAAUUAUAAAUUUAGGAGAAAGAAAAAUGAAUUUUCCCUGAUGAUUCGUAUCUUUCGGUAUCAUCUCUUUGUACGGGCAGAGUUCGCUCGAGCUAGUAUUUCGAGCCAACCUUUUUUAAACGCGAUGUAAGGGACACCUUUUACACUCGGCCGAAUCGAUUCGCGCGAUACUCUCUUUCGCUUGGCUUCGCUCUCUCCCCGUUCUAGUUUCUUUGGCUUUUCGUCACGACGAUUGACAGGCUUUAUGGCGGCGGUACGGUCACGCUUAACGACCGAGCCAAUCGUAAAAAGCUCCGCCGGCGCUGCGGAGCGUAGAUAAGGUCUUCGUCAUUGACAACCUUGCGGCGGAAGAAGGACGAGUCCGGCACUCGACGUGAGAACAGGAACGAGGAAUUUCGCGAUCGCGUACUAAUGUACGGAGAACAUCGAUAAUUUAUAUUUGUACUAAAAUAAUAUUAUUUCUUCCGCCGCAACAAGAAUUGCUGUGUUUUUUAAUAAUUUUAAAAAUUAUAUGUUUUUAUGCUGUGUAUAAUAUAUAUUUCCUUGCAAAAUUCAGAAGAAUGAUGCGACUUGCAUAGAAUACAUAGUUAUUACAGGUGUUUGAAAUCAGGUAAAAGAUAUUUUAAUUCGCUCUCAUUUUGAUUCUUAAGAACAUACCGCGUGAAAAUAGAUGUCUAUUAUUUUCAUAAUUGAUUGUAGUAUCGAAAAUUAUAGUGAAAUUGUUUAUUCAUUGGAAGAUUUUUACACGAACAAUAUUACAUUUUCGUUAGAUUACGUCUGACUACGACAAAACGGUGCACGUGCGUGUUAGAAUCAGUUUGCCAAGCGACGCGAUUAUCACGUUGCAACUGCACCAAUGCCGCAAGGAUAAACGAUUGCUAGAUAUCGCUUACGAGACACUGUGGAAAGGAAGUUCGUUUAUCGACUCGCUUACGCGAGAGCAAAAAAUUGCCAAGACAAUCGAGUCGGAAUCCAUAUUCGAAUCGUUAAGGAAAAUAAUUAUAUAAAUCAAUGAAAAAAAAAUUUGAUUCACAAGACACAAUUCUAAUUUAAUAUCACAACCUUAUUUCAACGUAUUAUAACUUACAUCAUAAACUCAGUUCUAUUUAAGCAUUUUUAUUUUUUAAAUAGAAAAUUUUUUUAAGUAUGCAUAUGGCAUAUUGAGAUAUUUUAUAUAGUUAAAAAAAUGACGGAAGAAAGUUAUAAAUCUUUGAUAUGUCAUCGAUGCGCAAUAUUGUUGAACUAGAUGCAUUUUUAAGUGAAGUUCAGCGUCUUUAUUGCGCACUGUAAAAUUCUUCUAGACGAAGAUAGACCUAGAUAGACCUUCGUGACUAACUUCAGGCACUGUUACGUGCCACAACUCGCUAAUUGUUAAUUUUCAUUAUGUCCCGUCAGUUGGACGUCACAGCGCGUUCCGCCCCGCGAGAAUUAAAUUAAUGCAAUAAAUUCGCUGAAUUUAGUACGGGCGCGUCGAGCGAGAUAUUUUUUUAACCAUAUUUCUCGUAAAACGCGUUCGGAACCGCGUAUUGUAUUCGCGUGCGUGUGAUGCGCAAAUGUGUAGAACGACCGUGCGAAGAGUAAUUGGGCAAUAUUGUCGGUAAGUAUGAUUGUGACCGCGAAUAGGGAUGGGGUUGAGAACUGUGCGCGCCACGAGGCGAGACAGAGAGAAAGAGAGAGAGGAAGGGAGAAAGAGAAAAAAGUAGAGUGCUAAACAGGGCGAAAGAGAUGCAGAUAAAUGAGGGAUAUAAAGGUAGGAGAGAUAUAAAAGACCGUUUACGAGUCAUCGAAAAUGUCUCAGGGCGAAACUUAUCGAAACUAUCUUCAUUUGAUUCUUAAUCGUGACUUAAAAAUACUUUUUGCAUUUAAUAUUUUUCGUACACAUUAUUGAUUAUUUAUUAGAAAUUUGUUUAACGACAUAUUGAUAUUAACUAUAGAGUGAAGCUAAUGAAACAUUUCAAGUAAAAUACAGUUUUAUCUAUAUUUAACGUAAUGACCUGAAUUCAAUAAGUUCGAAAGUCAAUCAUUUUGAUAUUUUAAUAAGAUUUUAGACCAAUUUUUAGAUUUUAAUUUAUUUUGGAUUUUGAGGAAAAAAAUGCGCUUUUCGCUCUCUCAAUGCAAGGAAAAAAAUCAAUCGCGUUAUAUGCAUAAAAGAAUUAAUUCCGUCACUUGAAAAUGUCACUAGAUUCAAUCACGGAGAUAUUAAGUUUGUUAACGACGUGUUCUCUAUAAUAUUUCGUCUGUCUCUCCCUCUCUCUCUCUCUCUCUCUCUUUCUCUCUCUCUCCCCGCGUUAAUAAAUCAGAAUAAUUGAAUAGUGCGGAUUUUUCGAGAUACGAAUGCCACAGACCGCUAACGAAAGGCGCGCGCUGCGGAACGGUAGAAAAAAAAAGAACACCUUUCAUUCAAGAGGCAGCCUACGAGCGAACGUUGCUCCUCCAUUAGCGACAGACGUAACAAAGCGCCUUUUCAUGAGGCAUCGCCCACGACCAACUCGCAUAAACUCGACCGUCUCCCGAGCCUCGCGUGAUCAUCCCUCUUUCUCGGGGCUUCCGUCAAAAAUCCAACGCGCGUUCCAACGCGUGAAGACAAAGGUGGCAACGGGAAAAGCCGCGGGGAGUGACGAGGAACGAGAGCGGGAUGUGAAGAAAGGAAAAAAAGUGAGAGGUGGUGGAAAAAUCGUGGAAGCGGAAGGAGGAAAAAGAAGAAUAUGAAGAGGGAGAGAAAGAGCGAGAAAAAAGGGAACGCGCGAGAGAGGGGGAGAGAGAGAGAGAAGUUCGAUGUCGAACUCAGCCCUCGACCGAACGGCUCACCAUCCCUUUCCCGUUCUCAUCUAUAGAAGAUACCCUUCGACUCUCCGUGCCCUCGUACGUGCUCUCGCCCGCAGACCGUCCCUAUACUCUCGCACGUACACGUAUUCACCUAUACAGGCGCGUGCGGAAAGCCGUAGUCACCCUCCAGCGGCCCGCGGCCCCGCCCGUCGCACCCCCCGUCUCGUCAACCCUCGGCUCGGCCGGCGUGUUCCCGCCCUCUCCGUGUUUCCGCGGCCCGUUCCAACCACCCCGUUCCACGCCGUGUCCCGCAGGGCAUGUCCCUAUACACCGCCGACAUGCAAUUGUCCGCUCUAUCGCCUCUAGAUCCGUCCUCGCGUCGCGCACGCGGCGCCUAUAAAAAAAGUGUCUCUCUGAUAAGAUCCGGUCGCACUCGCGGAAUCGCGACGUCGAAUUCAAGCGUGUCCGGGCGGCGUCGCGGAUUUUACGCGGAUUUUUCGCGGGGGCGCCGCGCGGACAGUACUUUCGCCGCCGCCGGAAAAUUCUCAUCCCCUUUGGUGGCACGCUCCGCGGCACGCCCGGCCGUCUCUGUUAUACUGCCGGCAGCGACCCAACCGUCUCCUCCCUCGUUCGCUCCCGCAGCUCUCUCUCUCUCUCUCUCUCUCUCACUCACACACACACACACACUCUCACCCCAAACUCGUCCCCUCGCGCCUCGCCCACGCCCGUCCGUCGCUCGCCCGCCGCGCCGCGCCGCCACCGCCACGCCAUCGCCGCGUCGCUGCCGUCCCCUCGAGCCAGCCGAGCUAACCACCUCAUCCCAACCACCGCCCGGCCACCCACCCACGCGCGCUACCCCCUACCCUCGACCGCGCCACUCUGCGAGCCGCUCGUUAACCUGCUAGCGCCCCUCUAACCGCUGCUGCAGGGCUGCUGCCGCCGCCACCGCCGUUGCCGCCGUCGCUACCGUGGCUGCUAUAUUUACAUAUCAAUAUUCCAUGGCGUGGCAGGGUGGCUGGCUGGCUGGCUGGCUGGCUGGCGGGCUGGUUGACUGGCUGGCUGGCUGGCUGGCUGGCUGGUUGCACGCUCUCCUGAUCGUAAAGUAGCGGUGGCGUGCUCCUGCGGAUCCUGUCUACCUCCCUGCAUCCCCUUCCCCCUUGCUUCUGUCGCUCCCUUCCUCUCCCCGGGGCCCCGAAUCUCUCGAGGGAUGAAAUCCUGAGGAGAGAGAAUGAGAGAGAGAGAGAGAGCGUUCAGACAAGAGUAUUCCCGUCCAGGAGUUCGGAGACGCCGAGAGUAAUGAUCCGACUGGCUGCGUGUCUUCGACUGACAGCGUUAAGGGUGGCCGCGAGGGAGAGGGAGUAGGAAAUUUCCUCGAGAACUGUCGGCUCCCGAGACGGCAAAAGGGUAAAGGCCGCCGCGACACCCCCAUCUGGGCUUCUCCUGAAUUCUUUGUGCAGUCACGCGGCAGGAUCGCGGACGUCGCGCUGGCUAAAAAUAUGAAUGUCACCGCGUGACAACUCGCAUAAUGACGACAAUGCAUCACAAAAAGUCUUGCGCUUUUAUAUUCGACAUUUUAUCUCGUUCCAUUUUAUUCUAUUAUAUUCUAUUUUAAUGCGCGUCUCUCUCUCUCUCUCUCGCUCUCUCUUUCUAAAAUGAUAUACGCGCGCGGAAUGCUUUUUGUUUCGCCCGCGUUUUUGUUUGAUUUCCUUAACGCUAUCGAGUAUACCGCCCGAGUUAGGUAGGUAUCGCGUUGUCGAACGCCGCGCGACAAAGCA